Molecule: ribosomal RNA, 119 nt
Filed under: Helianthus annuus (common sunflower)
Lineage: Eukaryota; Viridiplantae; Streptophyta; Magnoliopsida; Asterales; Asteraceae
Source: RNAcentral
GGUUGCGAUCAUACCAGCACUAAUGCACCGGAUCCCAUCAGAACUCCGCAGUUAAGCGUGCUUGGGCGAGAGUAGUACUAGGAUGGGUGACCUCCUGGGAAGUCCUCGUGUUGCAACCC